This 498-nucleotide ribosomal RNA is filed under the name uncultured bacterium. Its description in RNAcentral is "partial 16S ribosomal RNA". It matches the Rfam family "Bacterial small subunit ribosomal RNA", at positions 28 to 507 of the family's 1533-position model. The record is from RNAcentral.
GACGAACGCUGGCUGCGUGCCUAAUACAUGCAAGUCUAGCGGACUAUUCGAAAUCUUGCUUUUUAAUCGUUAGCGGCGGACUGUUGACUAACACGUGGCCAACCUUCUCUGUAUACGGGGAUACCACCGAUAAAUCUGUCCUAAUACCUUAUAACACGAAAUGUCGCAUUACUUUUCGUUGAAAUGCCUCCCAAGCUGCCUCUACAGGAUUGUCCCGCGGCUCAUUCGCUAGUUGGUGAGGUAACGGCCCACCAAGUCGACGAUGCGUAGCCGACCUGAGAGGGUGAUCGGCCACACUGGGACUGAGACAAGGCCCAGAAUCCUACGGGAGGCCGAAGUAGGGAAUCUUCCGCAGUGGAAGAAAGUCUGACGGAGCAACGCCGCGUGAGCGAAGCAGGCCUUAGGGUCGUAAAGCUAUGUUGUUAGGGAAGAACAAGUAACGAAGUAAAUGACGUUACUAUGACGGUACCUAACGAGAAAGCCAAGGCUAACUACGUG